Chanos chanos (milkfish) is the source of this 441-nucleotide non-coding RNA. Lineage: Eukaryota; Metazoa; Chordata; Actinopteri; Gonorynchiformes; Chanidae. The record is from the annotation of a RefSeq genome assembly.
AUGUUCUCUGUGUUUCUAAUGCUGCUCUUGGCAGCUGCAUCCUAUGUAAUGGGUCAGACACUGACUGAGUCGGAACCAGUGAUCAUUAAACCUGGUGGAUCUCAUAAACUGACCUGUACAGCCUCUGGGUUUAACUUUGGUAGCUACUGGAUGGCUUGGAUCAGACAGGCUCCUGGAAAAGGACUGGAAUGGGUGGCAGCCAUGUAUGACAGUUCUAAUAUAGCUUAUUCCAGUGGUGUUCAGGGAAGGUUCACUGUCUCCAGAGACAACAGUAAGAAUCAGCUCUAUCUACAGAUGAACAGUCUGAAGACUGAAGACACAGCUGUGUAUUAUUGUGUGUUUGGUGGACAGUCACUGACCUCAUCUGAGUCAGUGGUGAAGAAUCCUGGACAGUCUGUCACUCUGUCCUGUACUGUGUCUGGAUUCUCUAUGAGCAACUAA